GAGCUCAGACAGUAGAGGAUGAGAUUUUUAAUCUCGGGGUCAUGGGUUCGAACCCCACAUUGGGCA
This is a non-coding RNA of Podarcis lilfordi (Lilford's wall lizard), 66 nucleotides long. Lineage: Eukaryota; Metazoa; Chordata; Lepidosauria; Squamata; Lacertidae. The record is from the annotation of a GenBank genome assembly.